This 503-nucleotide ribosomal RNA is filed under the name uncultured bacterium. Its description in RNAcentral is "bacterial SSU rRNA". It matches the Rfam family "Bacterial small subunit ribosomal RNA", at positions 20 to 518 of the family's 1533-position model. The record is from RNAcentral.
UGGCUCAGGAUGAACGCUGGCGGCGUGCCUAACACAUGCAAGUCGAACGAAGCACUGGAGAAUGGAGAUUCGUCAAAGUUCUCCUUUGACUGAGUGGCGAACGGGUGAGUAAUGCGUGAGCAACCUGCCCUUCAGAGGGGGACAACAGUUGGAAACGACUGCUAAUACCGCAUGAUGUACUCGGACGGCAUCGUCUGAAUACCAAAGGAGAAAUCCGCUGAAGGAUGGGCUCACGUCUGAUUAGCUAGUUGGUAGGGUAACGGCCUACCAAGGCUGCGAUCAGUAGCCGGACUGAGAGGUUGAACGGCCACAUUGGGACUGAGAUACGGCCCAGACUCCUACGGGAGGCAGCAGUGGGGAAUAUUGGGCAAUGGGCGAAAGCCCUGACCCAGCAACGCCGCGUGAAGGAAGAAGGCCUUCGGGUUGUAACUUCUUUUAAGAGGGACGAAGGACGUGACGGUACCUCUUGAAUAAGCCACGGCUAACUACGUGCCAGCAGCAGC